This 622-nucleotide ribosomal RNA is filed under the name uncultured bacterium. Its description in RNAcentral is "bacterial SSU rRNA". It matches the Rfam family "Bacterial small subunit ribosomal RNA", at positions 395 to 1017 of the family's 1533-position model. The record is from RNAcentral.
UACCGCGUGAAGGAUGAAGGCCCUUGGGUCGUAAACUUCUGUCAGAGGGGAAGAAAUACUCGCAAGAGUGCUGACGGUACCCUCAAAGGAAGCACCGGCUAACUCCGUGCCAGCAGCCGCGGUAAUACGGAGGGUGCAAGCGUUGUUCGGAAUUAUUGGGCGUAAAGAGCAUGUAGGCGGACUGUUAAGUCUGGUGUGAAAGCCCGGGGCUCAACCCCGGAAGUGCAUUGGAUACUGGCAGUCUUGAGUAUGGGAGAGGAAAGUGGAAUUCCGAGUGUAGGAGUGAAAUCCGUAGAUAUUCGGAGGAACACCAGUGGCGAAGGCGGCUUUCUGGACCAAUACUGACGCUGAGAUGCGAAAGCGUGGGGAGCGAACAGGAUUAGAUACCCUGGUAGUCCACGCCGUAAACGAUGGGCACUAGGUGUUGCGGGUAACCACUCCUGCAGUGCCGCAGCUAACGCAUUAAGUGCCCCGCCUGGGGAGUACGGCCGCAAGGCUAAAACUCAAAGGAAUUGACGGGGGCCCGCACAAGCGGUGGAGCAUGUGGUUUAAUUCGACGCAACGCGAAGAACCUUACCUGGGUUUGACAUCCCGAUCAUAUUUUAUGGAAACAUAGAAGUCA